GGUUGUCGUCAGCUCGUGUCGUGAGAUGUUGGGUUAAGUCCGCAACGAGCGCAACCCCUACUUGUUAGUUUGCCAUCAUUCAGUUUGGGCACUCUAGCGAGACUGCCGGUAAUAAACCGGAGGAAGGUGGGGAUGACGUCAAAUCAUCAUGCCCCUUAUGACCUGGGCUACACACGUGCUACAAUGGUUGGUACAACGAGUUGCGAGUCGGUGACGGCGAGCUAAUCUCUUAAAGCCAAUCUCAGUUCGGAUUGUAGGCUGCAACUCGCCUACAUGAAGUCGGAAUCGCUAGUAAUCGCGGAUCAGCACGCCGCGGUGAAUACGUUCCCGGGCCUU
RNAcentral lists this ribosomal RNA (336 nucleotides) under uncultured Streptococcus sp. RNAcentral's name for it is "bacterial SSU rRNA". It matches the Rfam family "Bacterial small subunit ribosomal RNA", at positions 1047 to 1382 of the family's 1533-position model. Lineage: Bacteria; Bacillati; Bacillota; Bacilli; Lactobacillales; Streptococcaceae. The record is from RNAcentral.